GGGUUGUGAGGUUAAGCGACUAAGCGUACACGGUGGAUGCCCUGGCAGUCAGAGGCGAUGAAGGACGUGCUAAUCUGCGAUAAGCGCCGGUAAGGUGAUAUGAACCGUUAUAACCGGCGAUUUCCGAAUGGGGAAACCCAGUGUGACUCGUCACACUAUCAUUAACUGA
Molecule: ribosomal RNA, 169 nt
Filed under: Salmonella enterica subsp. enterica serovar Oranienburg
Lineage: Bacteria; Pseudomonadati; Pseudomonadota; Gammaproteobacteria; Enterobacterales; Enterobacteriaceae
Also listed under: 2 other names
Description: partial 23S ribosomal RNA
Rfam family: Bacterial large subunit ribosomal RNA
Source: RNAcentral